GGGGCUAUAGCUCAGGCGGUUAGAGCGCUGUCCUGAUAAGACAGAGGUCCCAAGUUCAAGUCUUGGUAGCCCCA
RNAcentral lists this transfer RNA (74 nucleotides) under Bifidobacteriaceae bacterium. RNAcentral describes it as "tRNA-Ile". It matches the Rfam family "tRNA". From Rfam's summary of the family: Transfer RNA (tRNA) molecules are approximately 80 nucleotides in length. Their secondary structure includes four short double-helical elements and three loops (D, anti-codon, and T loops). RNAcentral also lists the same sequence under 2 other names. The record is from RNAcentral. Lineage: Bacteria; Bacillati; Actinomycetota; Actinomycetes; Bifidobacteriales; Bifidobacteriaceae.